This 331-nucleotide unclassified non-coding RNA is filed under the name soil metagenome. Its description in RNAcentral is "partial contains 5.8S ribosomal RNA, internal transcribed spacer 2, and large subunit ribosomal RNA". The stretch from base 1 to 120 matches the Rfam family "5.8S ribosomal RNA", at positions 35 to 154 of the family's 154-position model. The record is from RNAcentral.
GAUGAAGAACGUAGCGAAAUGCGAUAAGUAAUGUGAAUUGCAGAAUUCAGUGAAUCAUCGAAUCUUUGAACGCACAUUGCGCCCCCUGGUAUUCCGGGGGGCAUGCCUGUUCGAGCGUCAUUUCACCACUCAAGCCUCGCUUGGUAUUGGGCAUCGCGGUCCGCCGCGCGCCUCAAAUCGACCGGCUGGGUCUUCUGUCCCCUAAGCGUUGUGGAAACUAUUCGCUAAAGGGUGUUCGGGAGGCUACGCCGUAAAACAACCCCAUUUCUAAGGUUGACCUUGGAUCAGGUAGGGAUACCCGCUGAACUUAAGCAUAUCAAUAAGCGGAGGA